GGAAAAGAAAUCAACCGAGAUUCCGUUAGUAUUGGCGAAAGAACGCGGAACAGACGACUCUUGAAUGUUGUGAUAAAAAGCUCUUGAAAGAGCUACCAAAGAGGGUAAAAGUCCCGUAUUGCACUCCUUCAAGGCCACGCAAGUAGAACGCCUUGGUGUUUGAAGAACGGGGCACCACCCCCGAAGUCUAAAUAUGCUUUCGAGAUCGAUAGUGAACAAGUACUGUGAAGGAAAGGUGAAAAGAACCCAAAACACACUGGGAGUGAAAAGACCUGAACCAAAACACUGACAAUCACUCGGAGCGUGUAUAAGACACGUGACGGGGUACCAUUUGCAUAUUGGGUCAGCGAGUAAAUGAGUCAAGCGAGCUUAAGCAAUGAUGUGGAGGCGAAGCAAAAGCAAGUAGAAAACGCUGCGUUUUGUUUGUCUCAUUUGACCCGAAACCACGUGAUCUUGCCGUGAGCAGGCUGAAGAAGGCGUAACUUCCUUUGGAGGGCCGAACCGACGUCUGUAGCAAUAGACGCGGAUGACUUGCGGCAAGGGGUGAAAGGCUAAUCAAACGUGGAAAUAGCUGGUUCUUCGCGAAAUGUAUUGAGGUACAGCGUGCAG
This 609-nucleotide ribosomal RNA is filed under the name uncultured eukaryote. Its description in RNAcentral is "partial Bacterial large subunit ribosomal RNA". It matches the Rfam family "Bacterial large subunit ribosomal RNA", at positions 215 to 886 of the family's 2925-position model. The record is from RNAcentral.